RNAcentral lists this ribosomal RNA (502 nucleotides) under Pseudomonas sp. RNAcentral describes it as "bacterial SSU rRNA". It matches the Rfam family "Bacterial small subunit ribosomal RNA", at positions 157 to 656 of the family's 1533-position model. The record is from RNAcentral. Lineage: Bacteria; Pseudomonadati; Pseudomonadota; Gammaproteobacteria; Pseudomonadales; Pseudomonadaceae.
GGAACGCUAAUACCGCAUACGUCCUACGGGAGAAAGUGGGGGAUCUUCGGACCUCACGCUAUCAGAUGAGCCUUAGGUCGGAUUAGCUAGUUGGUGAGGUAAAGGCUCACCAAGGCGACGAUCCGUAACUGGUCUGAGAGGAUGAUCAGUCACACUGGAACUGAGCCACAAUCAAACUCUAAUACGGGAGGCAGCAGUGGGGAAUAUUGGACAAUGGGCGAAAGCCUGAUCCAGCCAUGCCGCGUGUGUGAAGAAGGUCUUCGGAUUGUAAAGCACUUUAAGUUGGGAGGAAGGGCAGUAAGUUAAUACCUUGCUGUUUUGACGUUACCAACAGAAUAAGCACCGGCUAACUUCGUGCCAGCAGCCGCGGUAAUACGAAGGGUGCAAGCGUUAAUCGGAAUUACUGGGCGUAAAGCGCGCGUAGGUGGUUCGUUAAGUUGGAUGUGAAGCUCCGGGCUCACCUGCGACUGCAUCCAAACUGGCGAGCUAGAGUAUGCAGAGG